This 503-nucleotide long non-coding RNA is filed under the name Anas platyrhynchos platyrhynchos (common mallard). RNAcentral describes it as "lncRNA (ENSAPLG00000025794.1)". The record is from RNAcentral. Lineage: Eukaryota; Metazoa; Chordata; Aves; Anseriformes; Anatidae.
CUCUUAACUUGCCACCACCUUUGUGUUUUCAGUUAAUGAACUGCAUCUUUCUUCCCCUCUCAUUGCAUGCGUUCUUUUAAAUACCACUCUAAGUAAUUUAAUUCUUGAACUGGCUUUGCAGUACUGAGCUCUUGAUUUCAUUUAAGGGGACAGAUGACAAAACAUUAGCUAUGGCUCUACUAAGCUUUACGAUUUUCUCUCUUCUGAGAUACAGCUCCUGAAGUAUUGUAGAUGAAACCUUCAAAGUAAAACCAAAUGACGACAGUUGUAAUAAAGAUAAAAAAGGGAGGGAAUAAUGCUUAAAUGGCAAUAUUUUAAUCACAAAGUAUUAACAUUUAUUAUUUCUAUUUUCAGGAGAAUGAGAUAGUUGCCAGAGGUAAACCAGAAAAGUAUUGGGUGAUUUUACCUCAUAUAACAAAAGCAAGAGACAGACCAAAAUCAGAGUCAUCCCAAUGCAGAGGACUUUGAGGCACUGCCAGGCAGGCUGUUCCUACAGGGAAUAU